AUUAUUUUCAUUAAUUAUUUAAAUUAAAAAAAAAAUCUUUCCAAAGCUAAUCAAAUCAGAAAUUCAAAAAUACCCAAAAAAAACCGAAAAAAGAAGCAAACUCCCUGAUUAAUCAAAUGUUCUCGGCAACACCAACAAUCAACCGUAUACCACUGGAUACUCAAUCUCAAUCUUCAUCCACCAAUUUCGCCUUCUAUCAUUUUUACCUAGGCUUGUCCUGCAAAACUUAAUUGGCAGACCCUGCCCCCAUUUUAUUUUUUCUAUCACAAAAUCUUGUUUACAAAGGUUGUACAAUAAUUUAUUGUACAUCAAGCCCAAUUAACAGACCUGCGUUGGACUCACACGUGUGAGUAGGAUUCAAAAUCGUCCUUCUCUAUUCACUCUUUUACUCCCGUGUUCUCUUUCUUUCUCUCUCCUGUAUCUCUCUCUCUCCUUCUCUCUGGCGAUUUUCUUCGAUUUUCUCUGCGAUUUUUUUGCUAUUGUUUUCUCUGCGGUUGUUCUUCAUUGAUUCCACUCCAUAAUCAAGGUGGAAGAGGCAUAAGUGGAGCAGCUGGCCACAAGGAUACAGAAGCAAAACCUUCCCCCCUUUGGCAUCAGCAUGAAUAGAAGUUUUCUUACGGACAACGCAGGGCAGAAGAACUCGAUGCUAAUAUGUUUGGAUUCUUUUUCUGUCUUUUGUGCGCUAUGGAAGCUUCCCCUAUCACGCUCAAUCCUCAUAAGAUACAUGGAUUCUAGUUGGUCCUUAACAUCAACUUGGGCAGCAUUAGAAAGAAAAAAGAGAGGUGCAACUACCAUAUGUAAUCUGUGUAUCGCAAUGUCACACAAACAUAUCGUCAUACAAUCUCCAAAUAAACUUCUAUUGAAACUGCACAAUAUAUAUAGCUAAUUCCAUCAAA
Spinacia oleracea (spinach) is the source of this 896-nucleotide long non-coding RNA. RefSeq lists it as uncharacterized. Lineage: Eukaryota; Viridiplantae; Streptophyta; Magnoliopsida; Caryophyllales; Amaranthaceae. The transcript is spliced from 2 exons. The record is from RefSeq and is a predicted model, not a curated record.